Molecule: long non-coding RNA, 162 nt
Organism: Etheostoma spectabile (orangethroat darter)
Lineage: Eukaryota; Metazoa; Chordata; Actinopteri; Perciformes; Percidae
Exons: 3
Source: RefSeq, a predicted model, not a curated record
UUGUCCUGGCUAACGCCGCCAUGCUAACAUGUCAUAACUGCUAAUGUUAGCUAACGUUGCCGGAGGACCAGGCAAGCGGACCAUGGCUGUUUACAACGUGUAGCCUGUUCAGCGGCUGUAGCAGACAAUGGUGAGUUAUUUUAAGCCACGGGAGGGGGGCUG